AACGAACGCUGGCGGCAUGCCUAACACAUGCAAGUCGAACGAGACCUUCGGGUCUGGUGGCGCACGGGUGCGUAACGCGUGGGAACCUGCCCUUAGGUUCGGAAUAACUCCCCGAAAGGGGUGCUAAUACCGGAUAAUGUCUUCGGACCAAAGAUUUAUCGCCUUUGGAUGGGCCGGCGUUGGAUUAGCUAGUUGGUAGGGUAAAAGCCUACCAAGGCGACGAUCCAUAGCUGGUCAGAGAGGAUGAUCAGCCACACUGGGACUGAGACACGGCCCAGACUCCUACGGGAGGGAGCAGUGGGGAAUAUUGGAAAAUGGGCGAAAGCCUGAUCCAGCAAUGCCGCGUGAGUGAUGAAGGCCUUAGGGUAGUAAAGCUCUUUUAUCCGGGAUGAUAAUGACAGUACCGGGAGAAUAAGCUCCGGCUAACUCCGUG
Molecule: ribosomal RNA, 433 nt
Filed under: uncultured bacterium
Lineage: Bacteria
Description: partial 16S ribosomal RNA
Rfam family: Bacterial small subunit ribosomal RNA
Source: RNAcentral